GAUGAACGCUGGCGGCGUGCCUAACACAUGCAAGUUGAGCGAACCCUUCGGGUGAGCGGCGGACGGGUGAGUAACGCGUGGGUAACCUGCCCUAUACACACGGAUAACGUACCGAAAGGUACGCUAAUACGAGAUAAAAUAUUUUUAUCGCAUGGUAGAAAUAUCAAAGCUCCGGCGGUAUAGGAUGGACCCGCGUCUGAUUAGCUAGUUGGUAAGGUAAUGGCUUACCAAGACUUCGAUGGGUAGCCGGCCUGAGAGGGUGAACGGCCACACUGGAACUGAGACACGGUCCAG
RNAcentral lists this ribosomal RNA (294 nucleotides) under uncultured bacterium. RNAcentral describes it as "partial 16S ribosomal RNA". It matches the Rfam family "Bacterial small subunit ribosomal RNA", at positions 28 to 334 of the family's 1533-position model. The record is from RNAcentral.